AGUAACGCGUGGGCAACCUGCCCCAUAGAGGGGGACAACAGCUGGAAACGGCUGCUAAUACCGCAUAACAAGGAGAGAGCGCAUGUUCUUUUCUUCAAAGAUUUAUCGCUAUGGGAUGGACCCGCGUCUGAUUAGCUAGUUGGUGAGGUAACGGCUCACCAAGGCGACGAUCAGUAGCCGGCUUGAGAGAGUGAACGGCCACAUUGGGACUGAGACACGGCCCAGACCCCUACGGAAGGCAGCAG
This 245-nucleotide ribosomal RNA is filed under the name uncultured bacterium. Its description in RNAcentral is "partial 16S ribosomal RNA". It matches the Rfam family "Bacterial small subunit ribosomal RNA", at positions 109 to 354 of the family's 1533-position model. The record is from RNAcentral.